This 532-nucleotide ribosomal RNA is filed under the name uncultured bacterium. RNAcentral describes it as "partial 16S ribosomal RNA". It matches the Rfam family "Bacterial small subunit ribosomal RNA", at positions 355 to 881 of the family's 1533-position model. The record is from RNAcentral.
UGGGGAAUUUUGGACAAUGGGGGCAACCCUGAUCCAGCCAUCCCGCGUGUGCGAUGAAGGCCUUCGGGUUGUAAAGCACUUUUGGCAGGGAAGAAACAGCCUGGGAUAAUACCCCGGGCGACUGACGGUACCUGCAGAAUAAGCACCGGCUAACUACGUGCCAGCAGCCGCGGUAAUACGUAGGGUGCAAGCGUUAAUCGGAAUUACUGGGCGUAAAGCGUGCGCAGGCGGUUCGGAAAGAAAGGUGUGAAAUCCAGGGCUUAACCUUGGAACUGCACUUUUAACUACCGAGCUAGAGUACGUCAGAGGGGGGUAGAAUUCCACGUGUAGCAGUGAAAUGCGUAGAGAUGUGGAGGAAUACCGAUGGCGAAGGCAGCCCCCUGGGAUGAUACUGACGCUCAUGCACGAAAGCGUGGGGAGCAAACAGGAUUAGAUACCCUGGUAGUCCACGCCCUAAACGAUGUCAACUAGCUGUUGGGGUUUAUUAACCUUAGUAGCGCAGCUAACGCGUGAAGUUGACCGCCUGGGGAGU